Molecule: ribosomal RNA, 329 nt
Filed under: uncultured eukaryote
Lineage: Eukaryota
Description: partial 18S ribosomal RNA
Rfam family: Eukaryotic small subunit ribosomal RNA
Source: RNAcentral
CCCUUAGAUGUUCUGGGCCGCACGCGCGCUACACUGAUGCAUUCAACGAGUCUAAAACCUGCUCUGAUAGGGGUGGGUAAUCUUUUGAAUGUGCAUCGUGAUUGGGAUAGAUGAUUGCAAUUUUUCAUCUUCAACGAGGAAUUCCUAGUAAACGCAAGUCAUCAGCUUGCAUUGAUUACGUCCCUGCCCUUUGUACACACCGCCCGUCGCUCCUACCGAUUGAAUGAUCCGAUGAAUAUCAUGGAUUGAGGAUGCAAGCAGGUUCGCCUGUCUUCAUCUUCGAGAAGUGAAGUAAAUCUUAUCAUUUAGAGGAAGGAGAAGUCGUAACA